UUGCACGCUGGCGGCAUGCCUUACACAUGCCAGUCGAACGGCAGCACGGGUGCUUGCACCUGGUGGCGAGUGGCGAACGGGUGAGUAAUACAUCGGAACAUGUCCUGUAGUGGGGGAUAGCCCGGCGAAAGCCGGAUUAAUACCGCAUACGAUCCACGGAUGAAAGCGGGGGACCUUCGGGCCUCGCGCUAUAGGGUUGGCCGAUGGCUGAUUAGCUAGUUGGUGGGGUAAAGGCCUACCAAGGCGACGAUCAGUAGCUGGUCUGAGAGGACGACCAGCCACACUGGGACUGAGACACGGCCCAGACUCCUACGGGAGGCAGCAGUGGGGAAUUUUGGACAAUGGGCGAAAGCCUGAUCCAGCAAUGCCGCGUGUGUGAAGAAGGCCUUCGGGUUGUAAAGCACUUUUGUCCGGAAAGAAAUCCUUGACUCUAAUACAGUCGGGGGAUGACGGUACCGGAAGAAUAAGCACCGGCUAACUACGUG
This 485-nucleotide ribosomal RNA is filed under the name uncultured bacterium. RNAcentral's name for it is "partial 16S ribosomal RNA". It matches the Rfam family "Bacterial small subunit ribosomal RNA", at positions 30 to 507 of the family's 1533-position model. The record is from RNAcentral.